AAUACAGUUUUGCGCUAGAGUUUAUCCGUGGUCGAUGGAGGUGGACGCCGCCGCUCUCAGCGCUGCGCUGCGGUGGCUCCCCUGCCCGCCGCUACUCCCAGCACCGGCACGGCAUCCGCGGACGCGGCCAGCGGCGACGUCCGCCGCUUCCCUGUGGCCCCCCUUGCCGUCGCCGCAGGCUUUACUUUCAGUCAGAUCAGAAAGUGAUGGUCUACUUUUGCAUACAUUCAGAUUCAGGCGUGUCCCGCCUUGGAAUGGAGACAACUAUUUUUUUUCCCUAUAAUCAACGGAGAAAGAGAGGGUGAAACCGUAAAGUAAGCAGCUGGUGGAGAUUCAAUACUCUUGGCAUCCUACUGAAUACUGCCAGUAUUUGCUUAUCACGUUCAUUCACACGGCGCGGACUCUGAGCCUUUGUCUUGUUUGGCCAAUGUCAUUAUACUGGAGGCUUUAGCGUCGUCUGUCAUGUACAGGUUGAAAUGUGUGCGCCUUGAAAACCAUGACACCACGGACAGGCCACCAGCACGAACUCUGAGGCUUUGUUUUGUUUUGCCCAAUAUCAUUAUACUGGACGCUUUAGCGUUGUUUGUCAUGUACAAGUUGAAAUGUGUGCUCCUUGAAAACCGUGACAUCACCGGCUGGCCACCAGCGCGGGAUCUGAAGCCGGGUAUUGAAGAGCAGGAACUGCAGCAGCUUGUUUCGCCCCUGAAUGGAUGCAAACUGCAGGAGCUCUGUACGGAUGAUGCCACGGGACUCCUAGCUGUUCCCAUCUGCAACCUCCUGUCUUCCUCCCUCACCGUCCUGGGCUUUUCUGUGAACCAAGAGAUGGAGUGCUUUACUAAGGAGCAAGAGGAUGCCCUUCAUCUGCUCGUCUCCCUCCAGAAACUGAUGUUUUACAACUUGAGCAAGCUUCAGAGCCUCCCUGCAGGGCUGCAAAAGCUCACCAACCUCAAGGAAUUAUCGGUCUACUCAUGCCCGGUUAUCCGGUCGCUACCAGAGGAUGGCCUCCCCAAAUCACUUCAAAAAUUAAUUGUCUGGAAUUGUGGCAGCGCGGAGCUAAAACAGCAGUGCAAAGGGUUAGUGGGAACCAUCCCAAAAAUCAUCCUGCAACUGGAAGACUUAUAAAAGGUCUUUGCCUUCGAGUUCCCGUGUACAUUGUUCUUCUUUCUUGCGGUUGGUGUACAUUCUUCUAGCUGUACAAUUGUCACAUAGAUGAAGGUCUUGUGGCCAGCUUCUUGUACAUAAAUCUGGUGUUCUUCUCAAAAUAUUACAUGUACAUUUGGAUUUUCGUUUCUCCUCAAAUAUUCGAUGGUCUACUAAGUAGUUCUGGUGUGAGAAUCAGAAUAUUACCACAGCAUAAUUCAGAAAUGAAGUAGACUUUGGUGCUACACUAUUGAUAUUACCAAAAACCUUCUACCUUCCUGUACCUAAAUCUGUUUUCUGUGCAGGUGUUCUUAUGUUUUACUCGUAGGCUUCUAUACAUGCUUUGCAUUUAAAUUUUGGUAGCCAUCGCUCAACAGGACAUGGUGUACACGACUAAUUUCAGUGUCGAGAUCAAGAUAUUACCACGAAAUGAUUGUAGAGUGUUCUUAUGUUUGGUCUCAUAGGCUUCUACAUACUUUACAUUUAAAUUUCGUCCGACAUCAAUUGUUAAGACUUGGUGGGUGUAUGUGGCAACUUUGGGUGUGAGGAUCAAAAUAUCACCACAUAAUAAGCGAGACUUCUGUGCUUCGCUACUGAUAUUAAGGUAUCAUCAUGUUUUCUCUGGCAUGGUUCCUGGUACUUAGCGUUUUCAUUUGGUUGUUACUCACAAAGACUUGGCGGUGUACCUAGAAAGUCCAGGUUUGAAGAUCAAAAGAAAGGUAUAACAGUUUUCAGUCGUUCGCUCUUUUCAGUCCUUCCUAUUUCAAAUAACAUGUACUCUCAGAAUCUUACGUCAGUUACGGCAUUAAUUUAGUUGGUGCAUCUGUUGGAUCCAACUUCAUAUAUUUAGUUGUCAGGCUAUCACUGAAAGGUUUGUCUAGUAUGUUCGCCCUUUGCAUCUAUAUGGAAGGUGGUUCUGUAAUUGUUCGCGUUUCUGCGCAAAAGUAGGAAUGUUAAUUGACUUGUGCUUCCAAGUUUUCAGGGUGAACAAAGGUUCUUCCUUUUGGUUGAUCGCCCUGGCAUGCAUGUGGUACUAAUCUGGAACUACACAACACAUUUGUUGAAACAGUGAAUAGUUGAAGCAAUAGUGGAGGAUGCUUGCUGUGACAAGAAUUUAGUUGCUCCUGGGUUGCUUACAUGUGAAUCUUGCCUAACUAGUGACUGAUUUAGUUUUGUUGAUCAACCUCAUUUGAAGCAAUGGAUCGAAUUGGCUAAAAGAUGUGGAUGAGCCAGCCAGUUUCUGCUACUGUAACUCCCACAAAAAAAAAGCGAACCAAACACAUCUUCAUUCUUCAGCCCACAAGAAGUGUUACAAGUGCCGGUGUGAUGAGAAAAGUCAAACCAGGCCAUUCAUUUUUACCUUCGCAUCACAUAUAAGAUGGAAGGCGGUGGCGAAAUGAUCAGCGUUUGCUUCACAACAAUAGAAUGCUGCUGGUCCGGCUUGCCUGAAGUCUUGCCGCUUGCUGUUGGAUACGGGCCCUAUUGAAACAAGGUGGAGGGGCAUGGGAGAUGGACAAGAGGUGGAUUUUUCCGAAGCAAACGCAGACAUCCAGGGACUUUCAACAGGGGCUGCCACACAAAAAGGUAAAGGGAAAGGGGGUGGCGGUGGCGGUGGAAGAGGAGUGCGCCGCAGCGCAGGAGGAGAAUGACGGCUAUCAUAUCAUCAGCAGUGCGCCGCAUUUACUGCACUUCGGCAUGUUUUGUAAGGGGAACAGCAAGGGAAGAGUUUGUAUUUCUCUCUCUCUCUGAAUCCUCUGUUUCUUCCAAAACAGAAAAAGAGUAAGAAAGAAAUUGGUCUGAGACUUCUCCUUCCAACACAAUCCUCUGUUUAUUGUGUUGGUAGUAGUAGACUAGUUUACUCGCUGCCCGUGGAAAGACUUGGCUUGCUGUCAAAGAGGGAUCCCUUCCUUGAUGAACAAUCAAUGUUUGGCUCCAUCACUCCCCUCUUCUAUAUGACAUAUGUCCAAAAACCA
Non-coding RNA from Triticum urartu, 3113 nucleotides. The record is from RefSeq and is a predicted model, not a curated record. Lineage: Eukaryota; Viridiplantae; Streptophyta; Magnoliopsida; Poales; Poaceae.